RNAcentral lists this ribosomal RNA (253 nucleotides) under uncultured bacterium. RNAcentral's name for it is "partial 16S ribosomal RNA". It matches the Rfam family "Bacterial small subunit ribosomal RNA", at positions 524 to 776 of the family's 1533-position model. The record is from RNAcentral.
UACGGAGGGAGCAAGCGUUACUCGGAAUUAUUGGGCGUAAAGGGCGCGUAGGCGAUUUGAAAAGUCUUGUGUGAAAGCCCCGAGCUUAACUCGGGAAGUGCACAAGAAACUGAUGAAUUUGAGUUCCGGAGAGGGAGGCAGAAUUCCCGGUGUAGCGGUGAAACGCGUAGAUAUCGGGAGGAAUACCGAUGGCGAAGGCAGGUCUCUGGGCUGACACUGACGCUCAUGCACGAAAGCGUGGGGAGCAAACAGG